CUACACGGGUUUCUAAUCCUGUUUGCUACCCACGCUUUCGCACCUCAGUGUCAGUGUCAGUCCAGAAGGCCGCCUUCGCCACUGGUAUUCCUCCCGAUCUCUACGCAUUUCACCGCUACACCGGGAAUUCCACCUUCCUCUCCUGCACUCUAGCCUGACCGUUCCGGAUGCCGUUCCCAGGUUGAGCCCGGGGCUUUCACAACCGGCGUGUCAGGCCACCUACGCGCGCUUUACGCCCAGUAAUUCCGAUUAACGCUUGCACCCUCCGUAUUACCGCGGCUGCUGGCAC
Molecule: ribosomal RNA, 289 nt
Filed under: uncultured Halomonadaceae bacterium
Lineage: Bacteria; Pseudomonadati; Pseudomonadota; Gammaproteobacteria; Oceanospirillales; Halomonadaceae
Description: partial 16S ribosomal RNA
Source: RNAcentral